Onychomys torridus (southern grasshopper mouse) is the source of this 1613-nucleotide long non-coding RNA. RefSeq lists it as uncharacterized. The transcript is spliced from 3 exons. The record is from RefSeq and is a predicted model, not a curated record. Lineage: Eukaryota; Metazoa; Chordata; Mammalia; Rodentia; Cricetidae.
UGCUCUUCCCCUCCCCUCUGCCGCAGCCCAGCUCCUAGCGCGUCAGCGUGGGCUUCCCGGAGCGAGUCGCUAGGUAACAGGGCUGGCUCCGCAGACCCGGGCCAGGGAAGCCCGCGCGCGUCGUCAGCAUCUGCGCCGCGGGGCGGGGGACGCACGGACCCUCCCCAAUCCGGGCCUGCAGAACCCCUGGGCUGGCUCGCGGUCCCCUCCCUGGAUGCCUUAAGGGUGCUGUUGAGCUGCCCCUCCCCUGCGGGGACCCCGACGUCGCCGCCCCCUCCUUGUCCCCCGCUGGUGCGCACCACUCUCCCCGCGGCCAAGUGGGCGACCCUCCGCUGCGGUUGCGGUGGCGGCCGAGAUCUUCCCUCCCAGCCCAGGCGCGGGGCAUGAAGAGCCCCCGGGUAUCGCCUGCGGACAACCCAGCCACGCGCACACCUCGCCAGCCGCUGACGGGGACAUGAGCAGCACGAUCGGGCUCCGGUGCUGGGCGACCAGCCUCAGCCGGCAGCGGCCGGUGGGUCCUUGCUGCCUGGGAGAAUGAGGCAGGAACCCGCGGCCACCUCUCUCUCCUUCUUCUUCUCGCCUUCCUCUGGCUCUCGCGCCCCGGGCCCGGGCCAGGCUGUGGCUCUGCUGCGUGCCCUGCGCGCCCCCCACCUGCCUCCGGAUGCUCUUCUCGGUUAGCCUGGCGAGGAAGAUAAAGACAUUUGCAACCAAGAUGGUAAUCACGAGUGGAAAUGAUGAAGACCGGGGAGGCCAAGAGAAAGAGAGCAAAGAAGAGAGCGUGCUAGCCAUGCUGGGCAUCAUUGGGACCAUCCUGAACCUGAUCGUCAUCAUCUUUGUAUACAUAUAUACCACCCUGUGAAUGGCCCCACGCAGCCUUGGCAGCCUCAGGAUGGCCAUAAGACACAGGUCCUGUGUGUCCACAUAUCAGUGACCAGACACUGCAGGGGGCCAGCGGGUUUGAAGACCACACACUGCUUUAUCAAUGCACCUUCGAACUUUCUAAUAGGUCACCAAAUGAACCCAUCCUGCUGUGAGGAGCAGACACUCUGAAGCACAAUGAAUCCAACAAAACUCAUUCAGGCCACAAGGAACUCAGCGUCUCUUACUGGGGACCUGACAGGAUGCUGGAAAAACCAACCUUCAGCACUAGUGGUGAGCAAACCGGUGAGGAAAUGCCUCAUCCUGGAGUGCUGACCACCUCCCAUACUGGAAAGGAGGAUGAGCUGAGCAGACGCAGCUCAGCUGCCCACCUCCUGGGACCAGCUCUAGGGGUGGUCCGCUCACAGGCAUCCCAUUCAUCAGAUGUUUCCAGCUGUUUGAUACAGGAGAUAACUUAUUUUUCAUUUUUCAUUGGCUUGAUGUGUGUAUCUGUUCAUAUCAAGGUAUAUAAAUAUAUAUUUUUAAUAAAUGUGCUCUAUUUUUUAGCAUGAACCAAAUAUUUGGAGAAGCACUUCUGGAUCCAUAGCUUUUCUUGGUUGUAAUCACUUUGCUCCAUCAACCACAGGACAUCUUUUUCUGUAACCUUCCGGUUGUCUCAGCUCAUCUCAACCCCUUUGCCUUCAUGCUCUUCCCUCUCCCCAUCUCUGCCCCUCCACUUCCUCCUCUCAUUCCUC